UACAGAGGGUGCGAGCGUUACUCGGAAUUACUGGGCGUAAAGCGCACGUAGGCGGCUUGGUAUGUCGGGUGUGAAAUCCCCGGGCUCAACCUGGGAACUGCAUCCGAAACUGCCUUGCUCGAGUACGGGAGAGGGAAGUGGAAUUUCCGGUGUAGCGGUGAAAUGCGUAGAUAUCGGAAGGAACAUCAGUGGCGAAGGCGACUUCCUGGACCAAUACUGACGCUCAGGUGCGAAAGCGUGGGGAGCAAACAGG
RNAcentral lists this ribosomal RNA (253 nucleotides) under uncultured bacterium. RNAcentral describes it as "partial 16S ribosomal RNA". It matches the Rfam family "Bacterial small subunit ribosomal RNA", at positions 524 to 776 of the family's 1533-position model. The record is from RNAcentral.